This 253-nucleotide ribosomal RNA is filed under the name uncultured bacterium. RNAcentral describes it as "partial 16S ribosomal RNA". It matches the Rfam family "Bacterial small subunit ribosomal RNA", at positions 524 to 776 of the family's 1533-position model. The record is from RNAcentral.
UACGAAGGGGGCUAGCGUUGCUCGGAAUCACUGGGCGUAAAGGGCGCGUAGGCGGCCAUAUAAGUCAGGGGUGAAAGCCUGUGGCUCAACCACAGAAUUGCCUUUGAUACUGUAUGGCUCGAGACCGGAAGAGGUAAGUGGAACUGCGAGUGUAGAGGUGAAAUUCGUAGAUAUUCGCAAGAACACCAGUGGCGAAGGCGGCUUACUGGUCCGGUUCUGACGCUGAGGCGCGAAAGCGUGGGGAGCAAACAGG